CCUACGGGAGGCAGCAGUCGGGACUCUUGCGCAAUGGAGGAAACUCUGACGCAGUGACGCCGCGUGAAGGAAGAAGGUUUUCGGAUUGUACACUUCUUUAGACAGGGAAGAAAAAAGACAGUACCUGUAGAAUAAGCUCCGGCUAACUACGUGCCAGCAGCCGCGGUAAUACGUAGGGAGCAAGCGUUAUCCGGUUUUAUUGGGUGUAAGGGGUGGUUAUACGGAGAAGCAAGUUUGUUGUGAAAUCCCUCGGCUUAACUGAGGAACUGCCACUAAAACUACUUCCCUUGAGUACUGGAGAGGAAAGCGGAAUUCCUAGUGUAGCGGUGAAAUGCGUAGAUAUUAGGAGGAACACCAGUGGCGAAGGCGACUUUCUGGACAGUAACUGACGUGGAGGCACGAAAGUGUGGGGAGCAAACAGGAUUAGAUACCCGAGUAGUC
This 441-nucleotide ribosomal RNA is filed under the name uncultured bacterium. RNAcentral describes it as "partial 16S ribosomal RNA". It matches the Rfam family "Bacterial small subunit ribosomal RNA", at positions 338 to 795 of the family's 1533-position model. The record is from RNAcentral.